AUUGAACGCUGGCGGAAUGCUUUACACAUGCAAGUCGAACGGCAGCACGGGGGCAGCCCUGGUGGCGAGUGGCGAACGGGUGAGUAAUACAUCGGAACGUGCCCGGUCGUGGGGGAUAACGUAGCGAAAGUUACGCUAAUACCGCAUACGAUCUGAGGAUGAAAGCGGGGGACCUUCGGGCCUCGCGCGAUCGGAGCGGCCGAUGUCAGAUUAGGUAGUUGGUGGGGUAAAGGCCUACCAAGCCGACGAUCUGUAGCUGGUCUGAGAGGACGACCAGCCACACUGGGACUGAGACACGGCCCAGACUCCUACGGGAGGCAGCAGUGGGGAAUUUUGGACAAUGGGCGCAAGCCUGAUCCAGCCAUUCCGCGUGCAGGACGAAGGCCUUCGGGUUGUAAACUGCUUUUGUACGGAACGAAAAGGCUCUGGCUAAUACCUGGGGCUCAUGACGGUACCGUAAGAAUAAGCACCGGCUAACUACGU
This 483-nucleotide ribosomal RNA is filed under the name uncultured bacterium. RNAcentral describes it as "partial 16S ribosomal RNA". It matches the Rfam family "Bacterial small subunit ribosomal RNA", at positions 30 to 506 of the family's 1533-position model. The record is from RNAcentral.